RNAcentral lists this long non-coding RNA (2318 nucleotides) under Zea mays. RNAcentral describes it as "long non-coding RNA (ZMAY_LNC000900)". The record is from RNAcentral. Lineage: Eukaryota; Viridiplantae; Streptophyta; Magnoliopsida; Poales; Poaceae.
CACCUUUUCCCGUCGGGCUCGUCCUGCCGGAGCAUCGCCAUCCCCGUCGAGCUUGUCGUCGCGCUUGCCUCGUCAUCGCCGCGCACUCGCCGUCUGGAGCUCGCCAUCGCCGUUGGCUGAAUACCCGUCCUCGUUGUGCGACGUCCCGAGGUGAGAAUGGAGGAUCGUCUACCCCCUACGUGUCCAUAACCCCGCCAUCGCAUCCAUCAUUUGUUCGUGCGUCAAACAUGUUGCCUAUCCGCGCCAUCGCGCGUGCUACCUCGCGCGUAGCGUGCUCAUCGCUCUCGUGCGUUGCACGUCUCGUCGCGCUUCACUAAACCAUCCCACCUAGAAUCGCUCGUGCUAAUUAACGACAUAUUAAAAUGGUGAUUAUUCGAGUACCAACACAAUCAAAGUUAAGUAAUGAUUUUAUUGGUGCUUACAACAAUUGCUUGCUAUUAUGGCUAAGUCAAAUACAAUAUCAUAAUCAAUAUUCGCGUAGCGUGUUUUAAGUCAGCGCGUGCCAUUCGCGCGCAUCGUGCGUGUCGUUCACACGUGUCGACGCGCGUUGUCGCAUGUGCCGUUUCGCGCACCUUGUUUAGCGGGUUGCGUGUCCUGUCACGCGGCAAUAAACUAUUUCGUAUAGAAUCACUCACGUUAAUUAAUUUACGUGAUUGAAUGAUGAUUAACCGAGUGUUUAACCAAUCAGAACUAAGUGUUAAUUCUAUCGAGACAUGUGAUAAAUACCUGUUAUAGCGGUUAUGCCAGUUUCAGUGUUGCAUUUAAUAUUUGUUUAGUAUAAAUACAACAUAGAUUAGUAGUUUUCGCAUGUCACACGCUAUUUGCGCAUCGCCGUUACUUGUUCGCGCGUUUGCGCCGCGCGUCUUGUACGUGUAUCGUCGCGUGUUGUUCGCGCGCAUCAUCUCGCGUCCUUUGCUCAUGGUAACACAUGGCCGCGCGCGCUUUCCGCGUGCUCCUUUGCACGUGGCCGCGCGCGCUUUCCGCGUGUGGUGCUCAUGGUCGUCGUGUCGCAUGCAGUCGUGCCGUUUCGCGCAUCAUAAACUCGCCUCGCUUAGAAUUUCUCGUGCUAACUAUAUUACUUAUUUAUUUGACAGCUGUUAGUGUAGCAAAUUAACCAAAACUUAAUAGCAGUUAUAAUUUAGGUUUGAUAAUGUUAUGAUUAAUAUUUGUUUAGCGUAAAUGCGCUAACUUCUCGACCGUAGCUCCGAUUAUCGCGUUUCUUUUCCUUGCGUGACCAUAAUAGCGAGCUCUAUUUUGUUUUGUAAAUUUUAUUAUGUUUUUAUUUGAAUGGUGUAAUAUUCUUAUGCAUAUACAUAUGUCUAUUUUUUGUGCCUGUUGGUAUUCGCUAUGUAACGCGAAUAGAAUGCGAUCUGUUUUCGAGCUUCGAGGAAUGACGAUCAAGCUUUGACGACCAAGUGAACGAACUCUUUGAGUUCUACGAGAUCGAAGACCCUGAGCAUCUGUUUGGUGAAGGCAAGUGUCCUCUGACCCAUUAUAUCCCAUUUACUUUAUAAUUCACUGUCCCGCAUACUAUGAACAACAUAAGGAUUGACUAGCUUUCUAUUUACCUUGUCCUUGAUUACCUUUUGGGUUACUAUGGUUAGCUUCAUGCUAGCGCUUUACUUUAAUCAAUGAACAUGAUGAGAUACAAUGAUGAUAUUAUGGUUUUUUUCUGGAUAUGAUGAUAUACUUGUGUCAUUUAAGGGGACUCGAGCGGUUUCUCGAGUGCCUCUCCGUAAGGACCUGUUCGUUGGAUGACCGCCCAGGAAAACAGUGCAACCAUGAGGGUGGAAUGGGACGCCCUUAGCUGAAUAAUUAGAGGAACUGGGGUGUAGUUCGCUUCGCUGUCGUGCCUGUUGGGGGCCUUCGUCUUCCGAAGGUCCUCAAAAACAUGAUUAACAAUGUUUCCCAAGCAUAAUAUAUGUAUAGGAACCUUCGGACUCAGGAUGAAGUUGUACACAAUAUGGAAAGCAGGAUCGGAACGAAGGUUGAACCAGCGCCGAAGCUACGCGCAAGGAUGCUUCGGCUCAGUAGCAGAAAGAGGAACCAACUUAAGAAGGAAAAGGCUAUCUAGUCCUCGAUAGAUUGUUAUUAAGUUAAUAGUGUCAAUAGUGAAUAUGAAGGGCAUGAAUGUAAUUUUGCGCAUGCUGCGUCCUGUGCCUAUAAAUAGAUGAACAGUACCCCCAUACUGUUCACGCUGACUUGUACUCGCUAGUGCGUCACGCUUGUAUCUUUGCCUUCUGUCAAGCCGAAGGUACAAAUGUAACUCAAUGUUUUUCUUAUUCAUUCAUGAUUAUAUAAUAAAAGAUAUAUUAACA